GGUUAAGUGACUAAGCGUACACGGUGGAUGCCUAGGCAGUCAGAGGCGAUGAAGGGCGUGCUAAUCUGCGAAAAGCGUCGGUAAGGUGAUAUGAACCGUUACAACCGGCGAUACCCGAAUGGGGAAACCCAGUGUGUUUCGACACACUAUCAUGUCAUGAAUACAUAGUGGCAUGAGGCGAACCGGGGGAACUGAAACAUCUAAGUACCCCGAGGAAAAGAAAUCAACCGAGAUUCCCCCAGUAGCGGCGAGCGAACGGGGAGGAGCCCAGAACCUGAAUCGGCUUGUGUGUUAGUGGAAGCGUCUGGAAAGUCGCGCAGCAAAGGGUGAUAGCCCCGUACACUAAAAUGCACAGGUCGUGAGUUCGAUGAGUAGGGCGGGACACGUGACAUCCUGUCUGAAUAUGGGGGGACCAUCCUCCAAGGCUAAAUACUCCUGACUGACCGAUAGUGAACCAGUACCGUGAGGGAAAGGCGAAAAGAACCCCGGCGAGGGGAGUGAAAUAGAACCUGAAACCGUGUACGUACAAGCAGUGGGAGCACCUUCGUGGUGUGACUGCGUACCUUUUGUAUAAUGGGUCAGCGACUUAUAUUUUGUAGCAAGGUUAACCGUAUAGGGGAGCCGUAGGGAAACCGAGUCUUAACUGGGCGAAUAGUUGCAAGGUAUAGACCCGAAACCCGGUGAUCUAGCCAUGGGCAGGUUGAAGGUUGGGUAACACUAACUGGAGGACCGAACCGACUAAUGUUGAAAAAUUAGCGGAUGACUUGUGGCUGGGGGUGAAAGGCCAAUCAAACCGGGAGAUAGCUGGUUCUCCCCGAAAGCUAUUUAGGUAGCGCCUCGUGAACUCAUCUUCGGGGGUAGAGCACUGUUUCGGCUAGGGGGCCAUCCCGGCUUACCAAACCGAUGCAAACUCCGAAUACCGAAGAAUGUUAUCACGGGAGACACACGGCGGGUGCUAACGUCCGUCGUGAAGAGGGAAACAACCCAGACCGCCAGCUAAGGUCCCAAAGUCAUGGUUAAGUGGGAAACGAUGUGGGAAGGCAUAGACAGCCAGGAUGUUGGCUUAGAAGCAGCCAUCAUUUAAAGAAAGCGUAAUAGCUCACUGGUCGAGUCGGCCUGCGCGGAAGAUGUAACGGGGCUAAACCAUGCACCGAAGCUGCGGCAGCGACGUUUAGGCGUUGUUGGGUAGGGGAGCGUUCUGUAAGCCGUUGAAGGUGGCCUGUGAGGGUUGCUGGAGGUAUCAGAAGUGCGAAUGCUGACAUAAGUAACGAUAAAGCGGGUGAAAAGCCCGCUCGCCGGAAGACCAAGGGUUCCUGUCCAACGUUAAUCGGGGCAGGGUGAGUCGACCCCUAAGGCGAGGCUGAAAAGCGUAGUCGAUGGGAAACAGGUUAAUAUUCCUGUACUUGGUGUUACUGCGAAGGGGGGACGGAGAAGGCUAGGCUAGCCGGGCGACGGUUGUCCCGGUUUAAGCGUGUAGGGGGUGUGACCUGGUAAAUCCGGUUGCAUAUCAACCCUGAGGCGUGAUGACGAUGCACUACGGUGCAGAAGUAGUUGAUGCCCUGCUUCCAGGAAAAGCCUCUAAGCUCUAGGUAACAUUAAAUCGUACCCCAAACCGACACAGGUGGUCAGGUAGAGAAUACCAAGGCGCUUGAGAGAACUCGGGUGAAGGAACUAGGCAAAAUGGUGCCGUAACUUCGGGAGAAGGCACGCUGGCAUGUAGGUGAAGUCCUUCGCGGAUGGAGCUGAAGCCAGUCGAAGAUACCAGCUGGCUGCAACUGUUUAAUAAAAACACAGCACUGUGCAAACACGAAAGUGGACGUAUACGGUGUGACGCCUGCCCGGUGCUGGAAGGUUAAUUGAUGGGGUCAGCCGCAAGGCGAAGCUCUUGAUCGAAGCCCCAGUAAACGGCGGCCGUAACUAUAACGGUCCUAAGGUAGCGAAAUUCCUUGUCGGGUAAGUUCCGACCUGCACGAAUGGCGUAAUGAUGGCCAGGCUGUCUCCACCCGAGACUCAGUGAAAUUGAACUCGCUGUGAAGAUGCAGUGUACCCGCGGCAAGACGGAAAGACCCCGUGAACCUUUACUAUAGCUUGACACUGAACAUUGAGCCUUGAUGUGUAGGAUAGGUGGGAGGCUUUGAAGCGUGGACGCCAGUCUGCGUGGAGCCAUCCUUGAAAUACCACCCUUUAAUGUUUGAUGUUCUAACUCGGCCCCAUAAUCUGGGGUGAGGACAGUGUCUGGUGGGUAGUUUGACUGGGGCGGUCUCCUCCCAAAGAGUAACGGAGGAGCACGAAGGUUAGCUAAUCACGGUCGGACAUCGUGAGGUUAGUGCAAAGGCAUAAGCUAGCUUGACUGCGAGAGUGACGGCUCGAGCAGGUACGAAAGUAGGUCUUAGUGAUCCGGUGGUUCUGAAUGGAAGGGCCAUCGCUCAACGGAUAAAAGGUACUCCGGGGAUAACAGGCUGAUACCGCCCAAGAGUUCAUAUCGACGGCGGUGUUUGGCACCUCGAUGUCGGCUCAUCACAUCCUGGGGCUGAAGUAGGUCCCAAGGGUAUGGCUGUUCGCCAUUUAAAGUGGUACGCGAGCUGGGUUUAGAACGUCGUGAGACAGUUCGGUCCCUAUCUGCCGUGGGCGUUGGAAGAUUGAGAGGGGUUGCUCCUAGUACGAGAGGACCGGAGUGAACGCACCACUGGUGUUCGGGUUGUCAUGCCAAUGGCAUUGCCCGGUAGCUAAGUGCGGAAAAGAUAAGCGCUGAAAGCAUCUAAGCGCGAAACUUGCCUCAAGAUGAGUCUUCCCUGGGCCUUUAAGGUCCCUGAAGGAACGUUUAAGACUAAGACGUUGAUAGGCUGGGUGUGUAAGUGCAGCGAUGCAUUGAGCUAACCAGUACUAAUGAUCCGUGAGGCUUAACCUU
This 2908-nucleotide ribosomal RNA is filed under the name Serratia marcescens. RNAcentral describes it as "23S ribosomal RNA". It matches the Rfam family "Bacterial large subunit ribosomal RNA". RNAcentral also lists the same sequence under 1 other name. Lineage: Bacteria; Pseudomonadati; Pseudomonadota; Gammaproteobacteria; Enterobacterales; Yersiniaceae. The record is from RNAcentral.